This is a long non-coding RNA of Panthera uncia (snow leopard), 4560 nucleotides long. RefSeq lists it as uncharacterized. The transcript has 5 exons. Lineage: Eukaryota; Metazoa; Chordata; Mammalia; Carnivora; Felidae. The record is from RefSeq and is a predicted model, not a curated record.
UCAUCCGGGAACACUACUCCUAUGUGAGGAGCUUCUCUCUGAGUUCUUUCAGGGAAAGCACUCACUUUCUUUCAGGGAAAGACAUUAAGCUGCAGGUUUAUGCUGAUUGUCUGUCUAUGGCUUUGCCCCAAAUCAAACUUUCAACAGCGUGUUACAGUAUAAUCCUAGUGGAAGUAAUUACUUGUUUGCUAGCAACACUGGGAAGAAGGGGAGGGGGUGGACGGGCACUGCAGGAAGCCUGAGGAAGGCUGUAGAGAAAGAGGAAGAGUAAGGAAGAGAACAAAAGCUUAGUGAGUACCUACUGUAUUCCAUACGUGGUGUUAAGUCCUUUACAUAUAUCAUAUUGUUUAGUCUUUAUCCUUGCCCUGAGAAAUAGAGGUCUCCAUUUUAUGGGGCAACAAGGCAAACGUGUCCAGUGAGUGGUUAGCUUUCUAUUGCCUGAAGGUUCUCCUGUCCCCCAUUCACUUUCUAUUACAGAGAAGAAAUAGAAAUGCAGCUGGAGUAGAGGAGGAAGGAGGGGGAAGGGAAGAAGAGGAAAAAGAAACACUUAAAAAAAGAUAAAUGUGAGAGAGCUCUGAAACUCUCCCAGUGGUUAUUCGACGUUAACUCUACCUGAAGUAAGGGUAACUCCGAGAAGGACUGGAAAUUAGGCACACCUUGACCCAUCUUCCAGUUUCUGGGUCACACUGGGUCAGCUUUGCCAUUUCAGGAGGAGCCUAGUUUUUGGAGGCUAUUUGGUAAAUUCUCAACUUAAUGCUCAUCCCGCCCGGAGACAUUGCUACGGAAUAGUAAAAAUUUGCCCAAAGUUUGGUAAGUCUCUGCAGAAUACAUUUGAGAAGAGAACAUUUAUUUGCUCAGUAGGGUGAUCCAGUUUCCAGGUUAUCCUUGUAAGAGGGAGGACUGGGUUUCUUUGCAGAAAUAACUCUCUCUCUUUUUUUCUUUAAUUUUUAAAAAAUUUACUUUGAGAGGGAGGUGCAGAGAGAGAGGGGGACAGAGGGUGCUGGGCUCCAGCUCAUGAAGAACUGUAAGAUCAUGACCUGAGCUGAAGUCAGACACUUAACCAACUGAGUCACUGCAAUAUUUCUUUAAGUGUUAAAUUCACUUGGGGUUGCUAUGGACUGAAUAUUUGUGUCUCCCCCUACCCCCAUUCACAUGCUGAAAUCUUAACCCCCAAAGUAAUGGUAUUAGGAGGUGGGGCUUUUGGGGGGCACCUGGGUGGCUCAAGUAGGUUAAGUGUUCGACUUCGGCUCAGGUCAUGAUCUCGCCAUCUGUGGGUUUGGGCCCUGCGUUGGGCUCUGUGCUGGCAGCUCGGAGCCUGUUUCGAUUUUCUAUGUCUCCCCCUCUCUCUGUCCACCCCCACCCCCCGCCCGGCUCAUGCACUGGCUUGCUCUCUCUUGCAAAACAUUAAAAAAAAUUUUUUAAAGGAAAAAAAAAGGAGGUGGGGCUUUGGGGAAGUGAAUGAGACAUGAAGGCAGAAGCUUCAUGAGUGGGGUAGAGCUCCCUUGCACCCUCUACCUUGUGAGGACACAGUGAGAAGCCAGCAGUCCGCAAUCCAGAAGAGGGGCCGCGCCCGACACUGAAACUGCCGGUGACUUGAUCUUGGACUUGCAGCCUCCUCGAUGGUAAGGAACAGAUCUCUGUUGUGUAAGCCGCCCAAUCUACCAUAAUUGGUUGCAGCAGCCCAACAGACUACGACAGACACACUGCAUGUCAUAUUAUGGAAAAUAGUCUUUCUUAAGCACAGUAAUCGAGUAUUUCAGGACUUUAUGUAAGUAAAGUCGGAUCAUAGCUUCGUAUCAGAAGAACAACUCUUGUUUUUAUAGAUUUAUGAUAUAGACAUUAAGCUGCAGGUAUUAUGAAUGUGAAAACUGGGAACAAAGAUUGAAUAAAGCUUUUGCUUAUUUUUUCCCUAUGCCUGAGGAGUCAUUCCAUUUUCUGGGUCAGAGGCUACGAGGCCGUCGAGAGCACCACCUUGAACAUGACAAAAGUCCUAAGCCCCUGCUCUGAAGGGGAUUGUGGCUCAUGGGCCAUUACCAUGGAGAAGUGAGGCUGCAAAAUGCUGAAGGGGGCACCUCUGUUCCAGAGAAAGGGAAAGAAGAAAACUGCGUGACAAAAAUACGUGGUGGGAAGUAGCACGGGGAAUCUUUGUCGAUUUUCUCUGACCACUUUGAGAAUUGUUUUUCCUUGAAAAGAAGAGAAAAGAAAAGACAACCUACCCAAAAUAUUAAUGCUAUUGUUAGAGUUCUACGAUAAUCCAAAACAGAGUCAUUUUGAAAGAAAAGGUGGCCCACUGUGCUGAAGUCAAGCAGGCCGCGCAAAGCUCUGACUUCAAAGCCAUUCCUUGAUAAAACAUCAAAACGGCCCAGGGUGGGCCAGCUGUUAUCUGGAAUUCUACAGAUAAUUCACUGAAACUCGGUGCUCACUAGCCGCAGAGAGUUUCCACAGCAAGGCCGUUCCCAGGGUCCUGCUUGAUUUUGUUGCCAGUCUCCUGUGUUUUGUUAGGCAGGGAGAGGUUUGGACCGCCUCUCAAUAAAACUCCGUGUUAGCGCACCGGAGAAACUUGACUCCUGCUUGGCCUCAUAGAGGCCGGAAAUGUGAACUGUGCCCUCCCUGGCCCUGAAGGUGACAUCGUCUUGCUCCUCCUUCUCCACCUGGAAGCACCAGUGACUGCUUUCCCCUGGGCCUUGGUUCGCUUUGGAAGAGCGGUGGCCUGCUUUCCACCAUGAAUAUCAGAAAUAUUGCCUUUUCAACUCUGUGCUGUAAAAUGUGAUGGUACUGCAUCUUCAUGAGGCACAGAGUUCCCCACUUUGGGUUUGCCAGUCCUGUGGGUUCAUUCUGGAGCCCCUCCCUCAUCUCCCAGUCUUCAAACGCCAGCCCAUCUAAUCCCUUUGCUGGAAUCACGCCGAUGGUCUCACCGAUCCUUCCCCCUUGCAUUCUUCCACUUCCCACCUCCAUGCAUUGCCCGAUCAGCAAGCCACAUUUCCCUUUAAAUGUGAAGACUCACCUGAAAGCCCACCACCUCUUCCGAGAAGCCUCCCCUGAUUAAGUGGGGAUGAAGGAGCUUUCGAAGCAUGGCUGACAGACUCCCGAUAAAUGAGAACACACACACACACACACACACACACACACACACAGAAACUCACAAGAAGAGCAAAUUACACAUUCGCCACUUUCGGACAGCACGCUUCUAUGAGGCUUCCUAGAUGCACGUGUGAAGGGGACUGCCACUUGCCGGAUAUGGAUGGCACGAAUGACAGUGAAGGAAGUGGGUCCUGGCAGUGCUUCCGGGCUGGUGGAUCACACUGCCCAGGAGGAACCUGCGUCUGAGACCAGUAAAUGCCUUAACCACGUAGUGUUCUCGUCAGGGAGCUUUCACAACUCCAUGCCCCCAUCCUUCUUGGGCAAACAUGCUGGCUACCUGGGACCAAGGUAGACGUAAAUAAAGGACCAAAACCCUCUAGACAAGGCCCUGCGGAGAGAAUGGUAGGCAAGCUUCCUGGCAAGUCUCCACGUUCAGCCUCAACUAAGGCUGCUGGAGGGCAAGGGGAUCUGUAGGGAGCCCUGGAUCGGAGGCAAUCACAUCAGAAGUAGAAGCAGACAUGUUCGAUCUCCAGAAGACCGCCCUCCGGGGCCAGAGUUAAUGCCCCUUGUGGAGGCCUGAGAGACUCAUAGCAUCAAAUGACCAGAACGAGGAGAACACAGACGGAAUGGUGAUAGCUGGCAAUUAGAACAUGGCACCAAACACCACUGCCACAGACGCUUUCUAGCUACAAAGCCACGCUAGGCAACCUUGAAGCAAAACAGUAUCGAUUUUGUGGUUGUAAAAAACGUACCUUCAACUGCAGAACUCAGUUUUAUGACACCUUGAAUAAAAACAAAAAGUGGCAGUUAUAUAAUGGACCCAAAUCUCCUAGUCUUCUCAACACACACACAUGCUUCAGACCUAGAGUUUUUGCCGGCAUGUUGAGAGUUUAACUGAACAAGUAACAACUUUGAAAACAAGGUCGUUUUCAGUCCUCGAUUAGACCUGAUGGUGUCUUCACUUCCUCCGCUGAAACCGUUUGGGGGAGUUUUUCACUAAAGAAGGGAUCUGACGUGUUUUUGGCCAAAACAAAGGCCAAGUCUGUGUGAAUGACUAUUUCUGUAUGUUAGUCACGCUGGAUAAUGAAUCGAUAAAACUUCAUCCAGCAGGACACCGAACCAGGAGCGUCUGGUCAAUGUUUAACGAGGGACUCUCCAGGGCGAAAAGUAUGCAUAUAAAUGUAUGUAUGUUUAUUACGGUUUUUACUGAUAGACAUGAUGUGUGAUACACAACCUACAAAUAAUAAUAAAAUCCACGGUGCUCUUUACUGCACAUUCCUUACAGCCACUUGAUUUUCACGGAAUGCUUUUGUUGAUUUUGGUCAAACUCUUGUAUUCAUAGCCAGCAAGUCAACUGUGAUUUGCACAGUUGCAAAUCAUUGCAAUUGCAAUCAUGCAUUGAAUGUCAUCCCAACCCCCUCUUUCCCUAAUAAAUGUAUUAUCAUUACACCUCCUGUGUGGUCUACUCUUCGACUAUUU